This 1051-nucleotide long non-coding RNA is filed under the name Ananas comosus (pineapple). RNAcentral's name for it is "long non-coding RNA (ACOM_LNC022422)". The record is from RNAcentral. Lineage: Eukaryota; Viridiplantae; Streptophyta; Magnoliopsida; Poales; Bromeliaceae.
UUAACUUUAAGAUUAAUUCCGGAUUUAAAUAUAAAAUUUUAAAAUUUUUUUUGGGACUAAAAUAAAAAAUAUGCAAACUUUAGGAACCAAAAUUGACAUGCAAAAAAAAGCUAAAUAGGCAAUGGCACGAUAAUGUCGUUAAUUCUAAAAUCUCUUUUAACAGUUUCAUUUUAUCGUGGUAAAAUCAAGAGAUUUGAAAAUUUGAUGUGAAGGCCGAGAUUUUUUCUAUGUAAAUUAGACAUCUUUUUAAAUAUUAUCGUGCGUAUUCUAAUUUUGAACUUGCCUGUCAAAUUUCAGUAAAAAAUAAUUUAAAAUAAAGAUUUUACACGAUUAUUACUUUUCACUUAAAGUUAAUAGUAACUCGUGUUUUCUUUUAAGGCAUCGCUUUGAGGAUGGCUUCGGAUAUGAAUUGGACUCCGUUUCGAAUGAUCCACUCAUUUUCAAUGGUUCGACUAUUUCAGAGGUAAUGGCACCGUCGAAUUUUAUAUUUGAUGCGCGGUUUUCAAGAAAAUCAGCUUUUAUCACAUAUUGACCUUUUUCUACUCAAUGUUCUUGCUUUUUAAAAGUGUUCCAUGCUCCUUUUUUGCGUGAAAAUUCUUGGGUCAGUGCCACUAGGCAUUUAUCACACACUAGUGAGUUUUUGGAACACAAAGUUAAUGAUUGGAAUGCUAAAUUGCUAUUUUUGCUAAGUGUCAAAAUUGAGCACUAUGUGAAAAGGUUAUCAUUUUAUAUGAAAAUUUUUACAGUUUUGGUGAGUGAAAGGUUCUACAUGAAAGUAGACUCGGAGAGAAAUUUUUGUCUCAAAUUUCGAGGAAUUUGGAUUUUCCUGUGCAUUAUGGCAUCGAAUUGAAUGACGAUUGAGUUUUCAUGAUCGAGAGGGUUUUCGACGUCAUGCACGUUAUUUUAUGCUUUUCAUCGCACGAAACCUGGUGGAGGGGCCAUUGUGCGAGGGGGUCGUAUUAGUCAAGAGAGGUGGAGUAGAUUUUAAAAAAUAAAAUGAGAUUUUUGAGAGGGGUUUUGUGUAAACGUUAUAGAUAUACAUAUAUAAAUA